GUGGGGAAUAUUGCGCAAUUGGGGGGAACCCUGACGCAGCCAUGCCGCGUGAAUGAAGAAGGCCUUCGGGUUGUAAAGUUCUUUCGGUAUUGAGGAAGGUUGAUGUGUUAAUAGCACAUCAAAUUGACGUUAAAUACAGAAGAAGCACCGGCUAACUCCGUGCCAGCAGCCGCGGUAAUACGGAGGGUGCGAGCGUUAAUCGGAAUAACUGGGCGUAAAGGGCACGCAGGCGGUUAUUUAAGUGAGGUGUGAAAGCCCUGGGCUUAACCUAGGAAUUGCAUUUCAGACUGGGUAACUAGAGUACUUUAGGGAGGGGUAGAAUUCCACGUGUAGCGGUGAAAUGCGUAGAGAUGUGGAGGAAUACCGAAGGCGAAGGCAGCCCCUUGGGAAUGUACUGACGCUCAUGUGCGAAAGCGUGGGGAGCAAACAGGAUUAGAUACCCUGGUAGUCCACGCUGUAAACGCUGUCGAUUUGGGGGUUGGGGUUUAACUCUGGCGCCCGUAGCUAACGUGAUAAAUCGACCGCCUGGGGAGUACGGCCGCAAGGUU
This 548-nucleotide ribosomal RNA is filed under the name uncultured bacterium. RNAcentral's name for it is "bacterial SSU rRNA". It matches the Rfam family "Bacterial small subunit ribosomal RNA", at positions 354 to 895 of the family's 1533-position model. The record is from RNAcentral.